GGGGAUGUAGCUCCAUGGUAGAGCAUAUACUUAGCAGGUAUGAGACCCUGGGUUCAAUCCCAAGCACCA
Molecule: transfer RNA, 69 nt
Filed under: Heterocephalus glaber (naked mole-rat)
Lineage: Eukaryota; Metazoa; Chordata; Mammalia; Rodentia; Bathyergidae
Rfam family: tRNA
About the family: Transfer RNA (tRNA) molecules are approximately 80 nucleotides in length. Their secondary structure includes four short double-helical elements and three loops (D, anti-codon, and T loops). Further hydrogen bonds mediate the characteristic L-shaped molecular structure. tRNAs have two regions of fundamental functional importance: the anti-codon, which is responsible for specific mRNA codon recognition, and the 3' end, to which the tRNAs corresponding amino acid is attached (by aminoacyl-tRNA synthetases). tRNAs cope with the degeneracy of the genetic code in two manners: having more than one tRNA (with a specific anti-codon) for a particular amino acid; and 'wobble' base-pairing, i.e. permitting non-standard base-pairing at the 3rd anti-codon position.
Source: Rfam by way of RNAcentral